RNAcentral lists this ribosomal RNA (476 nucleotides) under uncultured bacterium. Its description in RNAcentral is "bacterial SSU rRNA". It matches the Rfam family "Bacterial small subunit ribosomal RNA", at positions 28 to 507 of the family's 1533-position model. The record is from RNAcentral.
GAUGAACGCUGGCGGCGUGCCUCAAACAUGCAAGUCGAGCGAGGCUAUGAAUUACCGCAAGGUAAGGCAUAGCCUAGCGGCGAACGGGUGAGUAACACGUGGGUAACCUACCUGGAAGACAGGGAUAACGAUUCGAAAGGGUCGCUAAUACCUGAUAAUAUCCAUCUGCCGGGAUGGCGGAGGGAAGAAAGGGGAAACCCGCUUUCAGAUGGGCCCGCGUCCCAUCAGCUAGUUGGUAAGGUAAAGGCUUACCAAGGCGACGACGGGUAGCCGGUCUGAGAGGAUGUACGGCCACACUGGGACUGAGAUACGGCCCAGACUCCUACGGGAGGCAGCAGUUGGGAAUCUUAGGCAAUGGACGAAAGUCUGACCUAGCGACGCCGCGUGAGGGAAGAAGGCCUUCGGGUUGUAAACCUCUGUCAUGGGGGAAGAAGGAAGUGACGGUACCCCAAGAGGAAGCCCCUGCUAACUACGUG